This 2461-nucleotide long non-coding RNA is filed under the name Setaria viridis. RNAcentral describes it as "long non-coding RNA (SVIR_LNC006919)". Lineage: Eukaryota; Viridiplantae; Streptophyta; Magnoliopsida; Poales; Poaceae. The record is from RNAcentral.
CGAAUUCACUAUUUUGAGGUAACGAAACUCGGGUGGAAUUUUUUCGCAACGGACGCGUGCAAUCUUUCUAAUUAGACCCUAGAACAUGUUUGGGAGUGUUUCUGAGCAUUCGGUUACAGCACGAAAAACGAUGCAAAACGGGUGCAUUUCGGCAGCCGAAUGCACUAUUUCCGGGUAGCGAAACUCGGGUGGAUUUUUUUGCAACGAACGCAUGCAAUCUUCAUAAUUAUACCCUAGAACAUGUUUGGGAGUGUUUUUGAGCAUUCGGUUCCGGAACGAAAAAUGAAGCAAUACGGGUGCAUUUCGGUACCCGAAUGCAUAUUGCCGGGUAGCGAAACUCGGGUGGAUUUUUUCGCAACGAACACAUGCAAUCUUCCUAAUUAUACCCUAAAACAUGUUUGGGAGUGUUUUUGAGCAUUCGGUUCCGGAACGAAAAAUGAUGCAAAACGGGUGCAUUUCGGCACCCGAAUGCACUAUUGCCGGGUAGCGAAACUCGGGUGGAUUUUUUCGCAACGAACGCAUGCAAUCUUCAUAAUUAUACCCUAGAACAUGUUUGGGAGUGUUUUUGAGCAUUCGGUUCCGGAACGAAAAAUGAAGCAAUACGGGUGCAUUUCGGUACCCGAAUGCAUAUUGCCGGGUAGCGAAACUCGGGUGGAUUUUUUCGCAACGAACGCAUGCAAUCUUCAUAAUUAUACCCUAGAACAUGUUUGGGAGUGUUUUUGAGCAUUCGGUUCCGGAACGAAAAAUGAAGCAAUACGGGUGCAUUUCGGUACCCAAAUGCAUAUUGCCGGGUAGCGAAACUCGGGAGGAUUUUUUCGCAACGAACGCAUGCAAUCUUCCUAAUUAUACCCUAGAACAUCUUGAUAUGAACCCGCUAGGGGCUGAUUCCCGAUCUUUCGACGAGAGAGGCGUGGAUAACUCGAUUGGUGGAUGGAGACGACGUUCACGGCCCGACUACAGCCUUCCAAGCUGCGCCUUAGCAACCGAUACACCACCUCCAAUGGCUGCCGCGAUCUUGUGGAGCGCGUCACCCGGCCACUAGGGCACUCGUCCUGCAAGCAAUCGAAGAACUAGCAAGAACAAGUAUAACAAGCAACUCAAUUGCAAAUAUGGAGAUGGAAACCAAUCUGAACUCACAAAGUUGGGGUUCCGAAUCGAGUAGAACGGAUGGUCUAGUCGACACACGCGUCUACAAGGAAGUAGCAAUGGCUAAACUUACAUCAAAACAAAACCCAAUCUGUUCGUGGUGGCUCUAAUCCUUAUUAAUACCUAGGAGGACGACCAGGGGGGUGUUGGGGUCGUGCUCCAACCCUAGGACACGUUCCUAAUGGACCCAACUUGAUACACGGCCCAUCGGGCCAAAAUAGGGCGACGCAGCACCUGUGGACAGAAAACCUCUCGGUAGUAUUUCGAUGAUUGCGGCCUCCUCAGAAUAGAUAUGGACAUGAGUCCGGAUCCAUAUGAAAAUAGACUUCAUAAGGAUUCCAAGGAGUACUUGAACGCCCAAAACGGAGUCCGGAUGAGGUCGUGGCGGUUGUUGCAAGUUGGGCCAGAACUGUAGUCCGAAUCCAGCACCAAAACGUGUUGGAUUGGAUCUCUUUCUUUCCUUGGGCCAAAAGUGACGUGGUGGCCUGGUGGAGGACGUUAGGAAUACUUGGACUCGGCCCCCAAUCUACUUCUUUGGUCCUCCAUGCCUUCCAUGUGUGUUUAACACUAUUUUUGAUCCAUGUAUGUAUUUCUGAAAUUGACAACGAAUACACAUCAUGGUGCAGCAUCAAUUCAUCAAAUGUAUCACAUAUAAUUAUGAUAAAGAAUUGCUUCACCUCGGAGUCAAAAGAUGCCAAUAUGGUUGUAUCCGAGCAUGUGAUGUCCUCAUCACAUGUUUGGGAGUGUUUUUGAGCAUUCGGUUCCGGAACGAAAAAUGAUGCAAAACGGGUGCAUUUCGGCAUCCGAAUGCACUAUUGCCGGGUAGCGAAACUCGGGUGGAUUUUUUUGCAACGAACGCAUGCAAUCUUCAUAAUUAUACCCUAGAACAUGUUUGGGAGUGUUUUUGAGCAUUCGGUUCCAGAACGAAAAAUGAUGCAAUACGGGUGCAUUUCGGUACCCGAAUGCAUAUUGCCGGGUAGCGAAACUCGGGUGGAUUUUUUCGCAACGAACGCAUGCAAUCUUCAUAAUUAUACCCUAGAACAUGUUUGGGAGUGUUUUUGAGCAUUCGGUUCCGGAACGAAAAAUGAUGCAAAACGGGUGCAUUUCGGCACCCGAUUGCAUAUUGCCGGGUAGCGAAACUCGGGUGGAUUUUUUCGCAACGAACGCAUGCAAUCUUCAUAAUUAUACCCUAGAACAUGUUUGGGAGUGUUUUUGAGCAUUCGGUUCCGGAACAAAAAAUGAUGCAAAACGGGUGCAUUUCGGCACCCGAAUACAUAUUGCCGGGUAGCGAAACUCGGGAGGAUUUUUUCGCAAC